RNAcentral lists this ribosomal RNA (209 nucleotides) under Clostridioides difficile. RNAcentral describes it as "partial 16S ribosomal RNA". It matches the Rfam family "Bacterial small subunit ribosomal RNA", at positions 1 to 214 of the family's 1533-position model. The record is from RNAcentral. Lineage: Bacteria; Bacillati; Bacillota; Clostridia; Peptostreptococcales; Peptostreptococcaceae.
UUUUAUUUGAGAGUUUGAUCCUGGCUCAGGAUGAACGCUGGCGGCGUGCCUAACACAUGCAAGUUGAGCGAUUUACUUCGGUAAAGAGCGGCGGACGGGUGAGUAACGCGUGGGUAACCUACCCUGUACACACGGAUAACAUACCGAAAGGUAUGCUAAUACGGGAUAAUAUAUUUGAGAGGCAUCUCUUGAAUAUCAAAGGUGAGCCA